UCUUAUAACAAAUCAAUUAAACUGAUCUCCUAGUACAAAAGCUAGAAUACCGACAUAAGACCAGAAGACCCUGUGAAGCUUUAACUAACCUAUUAAACCCAAUAAUAGCUACUUUCGGUUGGGGCGACCUCGGAAUAAAAAAGAACUUCCAACAUAUGACUAAUCAUAAAACAAGGCCAACAAGCCACAUCAGACCCAGUAUGACUGACAAAUGAAAUAAGUUACUCCAGGGAUAACAGCGCCAUCUUCUUUAAGAGCCCAUAUCAAAAAGAAGGUUUACGACCUCGAUGUUGGAUCAGGACAUCCCAGUAAUGCAGCCGUUACUAAAGGUUCGUUUGUUCAACGAUUAACAGUCCCACGUGAUCU
This 366-nucleotide ribosomal RNA is filed under the name Bothriechis schlegelii. RNAcentral's name for it is "partial 16S ribosomal RNA". It matches the Rfam family "Bacterial large subunit ribosomal RNA", at positions 2048 to 2606 of the family's 2925-position model. The record is from RNAcentral. Lineage: Eukaryota; Metazoa; Chordata; Lepidosauria; Squamata; Viperidae.